UCAAAAAGGGGCCCCUAACAGUUAUAGUUUAUUUGAUAGUCGAUUUUUACUACAUGGAUAACCGUGGUAAUUCUAUGGCUAAUACAUGCGCAAAUACUGUAUAAUCAUAUUUAUUAUGAUUGUACAGUAGUGUUUAUUAGAUACAGAACCAACAGUGCGCCAUCACUUUUUAGUGGUGGUGUCAAAAGAGAAGGUGAUUCAUAGUAACCGAACGGAUCGCAUCAUAUUAUAAUCAUUUCGGUGAUUGGCGAUAGAUCAUUCAAGUUUCUGACCUAUCAGCUUUCGACGGUAGUGUAUUGGACUACCGUGGCAGUGACGGGUAACGGGGAAUUAGGGUUCGAUUCCGGAGAGGGAGCCUGAGAAACGGCUACCACAUCUAAGGAAGGCAGCAGGCGCGCAAAUUACCCAAUCCUGACUCAGGGAGGUAGUGACAAGAAAUAACAACACUGGAAAUUGUAUUUCUAGUGAUUGGAAUGAUGGGAAUCCAAACCCCUUUCAGAGUAACAAAUUGGGAGGGCAAAGUCUGGUGCCAGCAGCCGCGGGAAUUCCAGCUCCAAAUAGGCG
This 564-nucleotide ribosomal RNA is filed under the name Sarcocystis gigantea. RNAcentral's name for it is "SSU rRNA". It matches the Rfam family "Eukaryotic small subunit ribosomal RNA", at positions 86 to 597 of the family's 1831-position model. The record is from RNAcentral. Lineage: Eukaryota; Apicomplexa; Conoidasida; Eucoccidiorida; Sarcocystidae.